GAUGAACGCUGGCGGCGUGCUUAACACAUGCAAGUCGAACGAAGCGCUUAAACGGAUUUCUUCGGAAUGAAGUUUUUGCGACUGAGUGGCGACGGGUGAAGUAACGCGUGGGUAACCUGCCUCAUACAGGGGGAUAACAGUUAGAAAUGACUGCUAAUACCGCAUAAGCGCACAGUGCUGCAUGGCACAGUGUGAAAAACUCCGGUGGUAUGAGAUGGACCCGCGUCUGAUUAGCUGGUUGGUGGGGUAACGGCCCACCAAGGCGACGAUCAGUAGCCGACCUGAGAGGGUGAUCGGCCACAUUGGGACUGAGACACGGCCCAA
This 324-nucleotide ribosomal RNA is filed under the name uncultured bacterium. RNAcentral describes it as "bacterial SSU rRNA". It matches the Rfam family "Bacterial small subunit ribosomal RNA", at positions 28 to 334 of the family's 1533-position model. The record is from RNAcentral.